Molecule: ribosomal RNA, 440 nt
Filed under: uncultured bacterium
Lineage: Bacteria
Description: partial 16S ribosomal RNA
Rfam family: Bacterial small subunit ribosomal RNA
Source: RNAcentral
CCUACGGGUGGCAGCAGUGGGGGAUAUUGCACAAUGGGGGGAACCCUGAUGCAGCGACGCCGCGUGAGCGAAGAAGUACCUCGGUAUGUAAAGCUCUAUCAGCAGGGAAGAAAAUGACGGUACCUGACUAAGAAGCCCCGGCUAAAUACGUGCGAGCAGCCGCGGUAAUACGUAGGGGGCAAGCGUUAUCCGGAUUUACUGGGUGUAAAGGGAGCGGAGGAGGCGUGGCAAGUCUGGUGUGAAAGCCCGGGGCCCAACCCCGUGCAUGCAUUGGAAACUGGCGGGCUGGAGUGUCGGAGGGGAAGGUGGAAUUCCUAGUGUAGCGGUGAAAUGCGUAGAUAUUAGGAGGAACACCGGUGGCGAAGGCGGCCUGCUGGACGAUGACUGACGCUGAGGCUCGAAAGCGUGGGGAGCAAACAGGAUUAGAUACCCGAGUAGUC